Molecule: long non-coding RNA, 682 nt
Filed under: Elaeis guineensis (African oil palm)
Lineage: Eukaryota; Viridiplantae; Streptophyta; Magnoliopsida; Arecales; Arecaceae
Description: long non-coding RNA (EGUI_LNC057693)
Source: RNAcentral
GUGGCAUGUUAGUAUUUUUCAUAAAAUACCAAGGUAGAAGUCCUCCAAUGAUGAUCCACACGAAAGUUGGUCAAAAUCUUUCCCAACCAAUGCACUGCUGCAGCCUUAUCUUCUCAAGAACACUGUCAGCUUCGAACUUACGUCACAAUCGCACCAAAGUCUAGUUGCUUUCGAUCAAACCACUAGAAUGAUGCUAAGAAAACAAUCUUCAUAUGUCAUACAAUCUAGGAUUUAAUUUUUGACUCCAACACAUGAAAAAAUCAAAUCCUAGGGCACUCAAGCAAUACUUUCUGAAAAUCUCACUACCCUUGUAGCAACUUUUGUCACUCAAAAUUCUUUCUUUUUUUCCUCAAAUUUUUUUCAGAAUUUUUCAUAUGUUUACCACAUCCAUCUUCUUGGUUUCAACCAAAAAUCACCACCAGAAGCUAUGUGAGGCAUCCCCUAUAAAUAGGGGACCAAGAGACGUCACAUGGGAUAAAGGGGCACCAACCUUUGGUGCUCCAAAUUCCCAUUUGCCAAAUAAAUUCACUGAGUAAAUUUUUGAUAAUCUAGUUAUCUAAAGUAGAAGAACUCUUAGUCUUCUACAUGUCGUAAAAAAUUUAAUAAAUUUUAGCAUCAAAACAUGGGAUUUCUGGUAAAAAAUUUAAGGUAACGUAUAGAAAAUUAAGAGUCCUCGUUAAGG